This 776-nucleotide ribosomal RNA is filed under the name uncultured Neocallimastigales. Its description in RNAcentral is "partial large subunit ribosomal RNA". It matches the Rfam family "Eukaryotic large subunit ribosomal RNA", at positions 26 to 635 of the family's 3401-position model. The record is from RNAcentral. Lineage: Eukaryota; Fungi; Neocallimastigomycota; Neocallimastigomycetes; Neocallimastigales.
CGCAUCUGUGCAUGCAGCAUAUCAAUAAGCGGAGGAAAAGAAACUAACAAGGAUUCCCCUAGUAACGGCGAGUGAAGCGGGAAGAGCUCAAAUUUGAAAUCUUAAAGGGUUUCCCUUUACGAAUUGUAGUUUAAAGAAGUGUUUUCUGUUGAGGUUUUGGUAAAAGUUCUUUGGAAUAGGACAUCAUAGAGGGUGAGAAUCCCGUAUUUGACCUUUACUUUCAACUUUGUGAUACACUUUCAAAGAGUCGGAUUGUUUGGGAAUGCAGUCCAAAAUGGGUGGUAAAUUUCAUCUAAAGCUAAAUAUUGGCGAGAGACCGAUAGCGAACAAGUACCGUGAGGGAAAGAUGAAAAGAACUUUGAAAAGAGAGUUAAACAGUACGUGAAAUUGUCAAAAGGGAAGCGUUUGACACCAGUGUUGUUUUUCUGAAAAUCAAUUAAAGAACUGUUUAUGCUAAGUUGUUUAGACUUUAUCAGCUGUACUGUUUAGUUUUGAGCUUCUCUUUAAUGCACUUUUCAGUUAACAAGUCAACAUCAAUUUCUUUUGCUGUAAAAAAGCUUGAGGAAGGUGGCUUGAGAUUCGUCUUAAGUGUUUAUAGCCCUCUUGCCUAUGCAGUCGGAGAGAUUGAGGUCUGCAGCGUAGAUCCUUCGGGGCUAAAUGCAUUUGUGCUAAGUUAUAGCAUUUUAUAGACAACUUGCUGACUAUGAUUUGUCUUGUAGCUUACUCGCUUAUGUUAUUUUACCUACGCUUAGGAUGUUGAAGAUGUAGCACAUCAU